CCCUUAGAUGUUCUGGGCCGCACGCGCGCUACACUGACGAAGUCAGCGAGCAUGUCCUACGCCGACAGGUGCGGGGAAUCUUGUCAAACUUCGUCGUGAUGGGGAUUGAUUAUUGAAAUUCUUGAUCAUCAACGAGGAAUUCCUAGUAAGCGCAAGUCAGCAGCUUGCGUUGAUUACGUCCCUGCCCUUUGUACACACCGCCCGUCGCUACUACCGAUUGAAUGGUUUAGUGAGAUCUUCGGAUUGGCGCCACUGCGGCUCAGCAAUGGGCUCGGUGGAUGCCGAAAAGUUGAUCAAACUUGAUCAUUUAGAGGAAGUAAAAGUCGUAACAA
This 332-nucleotide ribosomal RNA is filed under the name uncultured eukaryote. RNAcentral describes it as "partial 18S ribosomal RNA". It matches the Rfam family "Eukaryotic small subunit ribosomal RNA", at positions 1470 to 1797 of the family's 1831-position model. The record is from RNAcentral.